RNAcentral lists this ribosomal RNA (465 nucleotides) under uncultured bacterium. Its description in RNAcentral is "partial 16S ribosomal RNA". It matches the Rfam family "Bacterial small subunit ribosomal RNA", at positions 339 to 795 of the family's 1533-position model. The record is from RNAcentral.
CUACGGGUUGCUGCAGUGGGGAAUAUUGGACAAUGGGGGAAACCCUGAUCCAGCAAUGCCGCGUGUGUGAAGAAGGCCUGCGGGUUGUAAAGCACUUUCGGUUGGGAGGACUGCUUCUAGCACUAAUAUUGUUGGAAGUUGACGUUACCUUCAGAAGAAGCACCGGCUAACUCCGUGCCAGCAGCCACGGUAAUACGGAGGGUGCAAGCGUUAAUCGGAAUUACUGGGCGUAAAGCGCGCGUAGGCGGCUAGAUCAGUCGGGUGUGAAAGCCCCGGGCUUAACCUGGGAACUGCAUCCGAUACUGUCUAGCUUGAGUACAGGAGAGGAGAGUGGAAUUCCACAUGUAGCGGUGAUAUGCGUAGAUAUGUGGAGGAACACCAAUGGCGAAGGCAGCUCUCUGGCCUGAUACUGACGCUGAGGUGCGAAAGCGUGGGGAGCAAACAGGAUUAGAUACCCCAGUAGUC